This 133-nucleotide small nuclear RNA is filed under the name Fukomys damarensis (Damara mole-rat). RNAcentral's name for it is "U4 spliceosomal RNA". It matches the Rfam family "U4 spliceosomal RNA". Rfam says of the family: U4 small nuclear RNA (U4 snRNA) is a component of the major U2-dependent spliceosome. The structure of U4 snRNA from yeast and human has been reported. The record is from Rfam by way of RNAcentral. Lineage: Eukaryota; Metazoa; Chordata; Mammalia; Rodentia; Bathyergidae.
AGCCUUGCACAGUAGCAAUAUCAUAGCCAAUGAGGCUUGUCCGAGUCAUGAUUAUUGCUAAUUGAAGUACAGGAAAGUGAAUGUCAUUUGGGAUAAACCUAUGACAAUUAAUAAAUGAGUGUGUGUGUGUGUG